This 205-nucleotide microRNA precursor is filed under the name Oryza glumipatula. RNAcentral describes it as "MIR812 microRNA precursor family". It matches the Rfam family "MIR812 microRNA precursor family". The record is from Rfam by way of RNAcentral. Lineage: Eukaryota; Viridiplantae; Streptophyta; Magnoliopsida; Poales; Poaceae.
AAAGAAACAAACCCUGGAUUUCCGUGUCCAACGUUUGACUGUCCGUCUUAUAUGAAAUUUUUUUAUAAUUAGUAUUUUCAUUGUUGUUAGAUGAUAAAACAUGAUUAAUACUUUAUGCGUGACUCAUCUUUUUAAUUUUUUUCAUAUGUUUUUUAAAUAAGACAGAUGGACAAACUGGACAUGAAAACCCAGGGUUUCAAAUAAG